Molecule: long non-coding RNA, 807 nt
Organism: Amphiprion ocellaris (clown anemonefish)
Lineage: Eukaryota; Metazoa; Chordata; Actinopteri; Pomacentridae
Exons: 3
Source: RefSeq, a predicted model, not a curated record
UAUAGAAGACAGCGCGCUAGCGUAUCUAGUCUGUUUAUCUAUGGUCGGCAGGUCUGGUAGCAUCUCUGGCUGCUGUUGACCUUGUUUUUGGAGUAAAACACGGUGGAAGCUGAAUUAGUGAGGAUGACUCCUGCUCCUGUCAUCUCUAAGCUCCUCACACAUCUUUACCUGCACAUGAGGAAAAUCACUCCUGUAGAAUGCAGAUGUUCAGAGGGAGAUGAUGCCACAUCUGGUCCAGCCGAUGGAAGGUCUUGAAGUUCUCUGACUGGCCUCGACUGAAGAUGGUCGUCUCACUGGAUUUAAGGUUCAGAUGCUCAGUAACAAACUCCACCAAUGAGCCAACAGGGAAGCUUUAGGUUUAUUAAAUGUUGCUAUGAAGGUUUCGCUGUUUUUCUUUGUGAAUGCAAUGUGCUCCAACUGAAACUUGAAUUAGAACUUAGAAGUAAAUCCUUCCAUCUGAAAGGAUUUAGUUGCAUUAAUAACCUCACAACAUUCUAAUUUUUAUUCCAGUCUUGGUUGGAAAUAGAAUCUCUGUAUUGAUUCAGGUAAAAACUGAACUUCACAGCAUCUUGAAGCAAAACAACCAGAUGAAAACUGUGAUGGUGUUGGAUUGUCAGACCGUAAUGUUGCAGCUCAAAGCAGCUUUUCUAUCUCAGUUCAUUCUGACAUUCAGCUAUGAAUCAACACAGCAGAUGGUGAUCCAUGCUGUGGAAGUCUCACAUCUCCUGAUUUAAUGGAGCUGCUUUGCACUUUUUACACUGUUUAUUCACCAACACUUCAUUUAAUAAAAGUCCCAUCUAGUUUUUA